This 497-nucleotide ribosomal RNA is filed under the name uncultured bacterium. Its description in RNAcentral is "partial 16S ribosomal RNA". It matches the Rfam family "Bacterial small subunit ribosomal RNA", at positions 28 to 507 of the family's 1533-position model. The record is from RNAcentral.
GAUGAACGCUGGCGGCGUGCCUAAUACAUGCAAGUCGAGCGAACAGUCGAGGAGCUUCCUCCUCAAACAUGAGGGGCGGGCGGGUGAGGCACACGUGAAUAACCUACAUAAAAGGGUGAGAAGAGUGAGAGACAUGAGAGCAAAUGCUAAAUAAUAGAAUCAACCGGGUGGUUCAAUAAAAAGAGACGGUUUUGCUGACCCUUACAGAUGAAUCCGCGCCGCAUUAGCUAGUUGGUAAGGUAACGGCUUACAGAGGCAACGAUGCGUAGCCGACCUGAGAGGGUGAGGUGCCACACUGGAACUGAGACACGGCCCAGACUCCUACGGGAGGCGGCAGUUGGGACUCCUCCGGAAUGGGGUAAAGCAUAACGGAGCAUCGCCGCGUGAGUGAUGAAGGUCUUCGGUUCGUAAGACUCUGUUUUUCGGGAAGAACAGUUGUGUAAGUAGCGAUGCACUUCUUGACGGUACCUAAUCAGAAAGCCACGGCUAACUACGUG